Molecule: ribosomal RNA, 422 nt
Filed under: uncultured bacterium
Lineage: Bacteria
Description: bacterial SSU rRNA
Rfam family: Bacterial small subunit ribosomal RNA
Source: RNAcentral
GACGAACGCNGGCGGCGUGCCUAAUACAUGCAAGUAGGACGCACAGCCUAUACCGUAGCUUGCUACACCAUAGGCUGUGAGUUGCGAACGGGUGAGUAACGCGUAGGUAACCUGCCUAUUAGAGGGGGAUAACUAUUGGAAACGAUAGCUAAUACCGCAUAACAGUAUGUAACACAUGUUAGAUGCUUGAAAGAUGCAAUUGCAUCACUAGUAGAUGGACCUGCGUUGUAUUAGCUAGUAGGUAGGGUAAUGGCCUACCUAGGCAACGAUACAUAGCCGACCUGAGAGGGUGAUCGGCCACACUGGGACUGAGACACGGCCCAGACUCCUACGGGAGGCAGCAGUGGGGAAUCUUCGGCAAUGGGGGGAACCCUGACCGAGCAACGCCGCGUGAGUGAAGAAGGUUUUCGGAUCGUAAAGCU